Molecule: long non-coding RNA, 1046 nt
Filed under: Mus musculus (house mouse)
Lineage: Eukaryota; Metazoa; Chordata; Mammalia; Rodentia; Muridae
Description: predicted gene, 34544
Source: RNAcentral
CACGUGACACCGUAACAGUUUACUCCCCUUGUCCUUCAAACCCCAAGCCAUGUAGGAAUCCACGGCUUCUCACAUGUAAGCCAUUACUGGAGCAGUUGAGUGGCUACAGCUGCUGCAGACUGCAUGCCAACAUCCUGCAAGUCGAUAGACCUGCAGCAUCUCUGGCAGUCACCAGUAACUUCAUGAGGAAAGCUGGCUGCUUGGAAAGAAGAAAGUGAGGCCUGAGAACCUGCCAGGAUCCAGACUUAUCUCCACGGCUAGUGAAGUGGGAAGAUGCUUUUGCACAGGGAAGCUACUCAUCUUUCUUGUCACCCACGUUGGCUGUUUCCAGAAAGGAUUAUAUUAUACAUGUGUAUGUGUGCAUGAAUAUGUGUGUGUGCACAUGUGCAUGUGAGUGUGUUUACUCACCUGCGUGGAGAACACUUGUAGGUUAGAGGGUGACAUCAGGUGUCUUCCUCAGGGUCCCUUACUGGGUCUGGAGCUCUGUAUUUAGGUCUGGCUUGCUGGCCAGUGAACCCCAGAAUCUGCCUGUCUCUUCAACCCAGAACUAGAAUUACAGCAGUGAACCGGAUCCUGGGAUGAAACGUUGGGAGAUUUUGUCGUGUCUCAGUGGCUAUGCCUUGUGGGAAGCUCUUCCUGACAAUUCAGACCUAAGAUGUCGGUGCCGAUUGAUGACGGCGUCUUUGUGCACCAGCCCUUCCUUUCCCAAUUUACUCCACCAGGGUGUGGUCAAGACAGAAUGGGAUAAGACCUAUGAUGUGUAUGGUGUUCAGUUUUCUACAUCAAGUCAUAGACCUGAGGUUUCAGCCCCUGAUGCUUAUGGCCUGUGCCCAGGUAGCUCCUCAGGACAUGCUGUGUGUGAAAGUGAAGCCAGUCACUUCUUGACUAUGAUAUAAAGGAAGGAGCCAUGGUCCCACUAACCUCCUGGAAGGGAUUUAUACUGAUGUAUCUUUGGUAGUGCCUUCAAGCUGUGCUCCAGGAACUGUCAUUUCCCAGAAAAGAUGGAAUUAUCUGGAGACAUGCUGGAAGAGGAUUUGACGUGAACA